RNAcentral lists this transfer RNA (127 nucleotides) under Daphnia pulex (common water flea). It matches the Rfam family "tRNA". From Rfam's summary of the family: Transfer RNA (tRNA) molecules are approximately 80 nucleotides in length. Their secondary structure includes four short double-helical elements and three loops (D, anti-codon, and T loops). The record is from Rfam by way of RNAcentral. Lineage: Eukaryota; Metazoa; Arthropoda; Branchiopoda; Diplostraca; Daphniidae.
GUCAGGAUGGCCGAGCGGUCUAAGGCGCCAGACUCAAGGACAUAUUUCUUGCUUCAAUAAGAGAAGUUGCAGUAUGCAUUAUUCUGGUCUUCAAUGAAAUCGUGGGUUCAAAUCCCCACUCCUGACA